UCACACGGAACUGCCGGUCAUAAACCGGAGGAAGUGGGAUGACGUCAAGUCAGCAUGGCCUUUAUAUCCUGGGCUACACACACGCUACAAUGGGAAGGGACAAUAGGUUGCGAAGCCGCGAGGUGGAGCCAAUCCAGCAAAUCCCUCAGUUCAGAUUGCAGGCUGCAACUCGCCUGCAUGAAGUUGGAGUUGCUAGUAAACGCAGGUCAGCCAUACUGCGUUGAAUACGUUCCCGGGGCUU
This 241-nucleotide ribosomal RNA is filed under the name uncultured Anaerolineaceae bacterium. RNAcentral describes it as "partial 16S ribosomal RNA". It matches the Rfam family "Bacterial small subunit ribosomal RNA", at positions 1139 to 1382 of the family's 1533-position model. The record is from RNAcentral. Lineage: Bacteria; Bacillati; Chloroflexota; Anaerolineae; Anaerolineales; Anaerolineaceae.